Molecule: ribosomal RNA, 496 nt
Filed under: uncultured bacterium
Lineage: Bacteria
Description: partial 16S ribosomal RNA
Rfam family: Bacterial small subunit ribosomal RNA
Source: RNAcentral
AUGAACGCUGGCGGCGUUCCUAAUACCUGCAAGUCGAGCGAACGGACGAGAAGCUUGCUUCUCUGAUGUUAGCGGCGGACGGGUGAGUAACACGUGGAUAACCUACCUAUAAGACUGGGAUAACUUCGGGAAACCGGAGCUAAUACCGGAUAAUAUUUUGAACCGCAUGGUUCAAAAGUGAAAGACGGUCUUGCUGUCACUUAUAGAUGGAUCCGCGCUGCAUUAGCUAGUUGGUAAGGUAACGGCUUACCAAGGCAACGAUGCAUAGCCGACCUGAGGGGGUGAUCGGCCACACUGGAACUGAGACACGGUCCAGACUCCUACGGGAGGCAGCAGUAGGGAAUCUUCCGCAAUGGGCGAAAGCCUGACGGAGCAACGCCGCGUGAGUGAUGAAGGUCUUCGGAUCGUAAAACUCUGUUAUUAGGGAAGAACAUAUGUGUAAGUAACUGUGCACAUCUUGACGGUACCUAAUCAGAAAGCCACGGCUAACUACGUG